GUUGAGUUUGAAGUGCCUGUGGGAGAGGUCUCAAGAAAGCAGUCAGAAAUAGGCACAACCUGGGGAGAAAAGCCUGGUGUGGGGGAAGAGUCACGGGAGAGGCUUGAAACUAGGUGCUCACUGAAGCUGUGGGAGUAGGGAGAUGAGCAGAGGGGAGCAGGCCAGGAACGACGAGGCCCUGCGGGUUCACUGAGAGAAGGAAGGCUCCUUGGGCGUCUAAAUGAACACCCGGCAAAGUAGAACAACCUGCGGCGUGUGUCACAGAAGCCGACGGCAGAGCGUUUCGACAAGGACGAAGUGACAACAAUGCCCAUUGCUACCCAGUGGGUUGAUGUUUGUGGAAGUCACUGGCGAGUUGAACAAGAGCAGCUGGAAGCCAGACUGGAUUGCUUUGAGGAGAGGGAGGCAAAAGAGACAGGAAGAACAUACAUUCUUGUUCCGUCCUUCUGUCCCGCAAAAUAGGCGUGAUUCCUGCCUCACACGUGAGGAAACUAAGGCUCAGAGCAGGUGACUGGCCGAGACCACACAGUUGGUGAACGGCAGAGCCAGGAUUGAAACGUGGUGUGUUUUCUGGCUUCCCAGCGCUGGAUCACAGUGUCAUAAGCGGCCCCACGUCUCCCACUUUGCCACUGACGUUAACCCAGCCGCCCACCCAAUCUGAAUAACUUCUUGGCAAAUUCUGGAAUUGUCGGAGUGGAGGGAGGACAGCAGAAAAACUUGGCGAUCUGUGGCGAGAAAGGCCACACCAUCCAAAACCUGAAAUACAGCUGUUAAUACUAGCUUUCCAUCAAUCUGUUUCUUGGAGCCUGCACGAAGCUCAGUAGGUCCUGUUCCCCAGCUGCAUCAUGCAGGGUCAUUUCAACUGAGGUGACUGCCCAGCAGUGUCUGCACAGCGUCAUUAGGUAUCCUGGGGACAUAAUCUGCUUGAGAUCAAACUGCAGGGAAGUGGGAAGCUUUGGGAUGCUCACACCCCCUUACCACAUCCCCCUCACAGAUGGAGAACUUUCCUCCGAUUAAGGCUGUCUCUGGGGGCCGGCCGAGUGGCCGUGGCCGAGUGGUUAAGUUCACACAUUCCUUCAGUGGCCCAGGGUUUCGCUGAUUCAGAUCCUGGCCACAGACCCAGCACCAUUCAUCAGGCCAUGCUGAGACGCGUCCCACAUAGCACAACCAGAAGAACCUACAACUAGAAUAUACAUCUAUGUACUGGGGGGCUUUGGGGAGAAAAAGAAGAAGAAAAAGAUUGGCAACAGAUGUUAGCUCAGGUGCUAAUCUGGUGAUGCAGAACGGGGUCAGAUCAAAGCCAGCAAGUUCACAGUCACCUGGCUGGGAGCCUCUGCUCGUCCAGCACUCAUGGCUAAAGUGAGGAUGGGUAUCGGUGGGGACUAUCCAAGCUCUUGUUACAGAUGAGAAAACAGAGGCCUGGAGAAAAGUCACUCGCCAGGCAUGAGACCAGGUCUUCCGACUCUUACUUUAGUGCUCUUCUGAUUACAAUAAAAUGCAAUGACUCUUCUUGGAAAGAUUGGGCACUGGAAUAUGUUUUUCACUGAGAAAAUAUUUUCCCCCAAUUUGAAAGGCUUGGUUAUCAUAGUGUUAGAAGUCUCUUUAUUCCCAUCCAUUCCUCCAUCCCUUGAGAAAGUCACUUUGACAGUUUGGUGUACAGAGUACUGAAUCUGAGUGCUCCUGCUUGCCGUAGGGCGCGGGUGCUGUGAAAACAUCACGAGACACAUUUCCACCCCUGUGAGUUUAACCUCGUGGCAUCGACAGUUGCUGACCCCAUCUCUACGUUCAGGUGUGGGUCAUGGCUCUGCUCUUGGCCAGCUGCAUAAACUCAGGCGAGUGAUGUAGCUUCUCAGUGCCACAGUUCCUUUAUCCAUAAAAUGGGAAUAAAUACGUACCUGUCUCAUCAGCGCUAUGUACCUGGCAUGUCGUGAGCAAUUAAUAAAUUGCAGGUGGUUAUUAGUAGUAUUGCAAACCACCCAAGAUCCAGGUACUUACGUGUUUCCCAUGGGUAUUGCUUGUUCGGGGCAGGCCAGCACUUGCACAGUGGCUUGGCCUUGGGUGCACGUCCUGUGGGUGUACUUGAUAGUACAGCUAGGCUGUACUCUACCACACUGUCGGGGGACAGGGUCGUGUGGGGAGAAGAGCACUGGCCCGAGGGAGGAAUCUGGGUCCUGGUCCUGGCUUCACCACCCAUUCUCUGUACGACGUUACUCAAUUGGCUUUCCCUCUCAGAGCCUUCCGUUUCCUCACAGUGACUUGGGGAAACUGGGCCAGAGCACUGGUUCCCUAUCGCAGCUCCAUCGUGGAGCCCUUUGGCUAACGUAUUUUCUUCUAUGGAUCUCAUAUUUUAAAAGAUUUCUAUUAAGUAGAAAAGUUAUAUUUUUUAAUCAAAAUAGGAAACUGAUCAGAUUGAGAAAAACAUAAGGUAAUUAACCAUCUAAAGAGACACAAUGUCAGUCAAAAGAGAAAACUAUCUUUGUCUUGCAGUAAAUUGACAAUUUUUGAGGCUUUUUUUAAUAUGCAAAAUGAUAAGACUACCCCAUAGUACAUGCACAGAGCUCCAGGCUUUGAAUGGAUGGAUUUCAUAAUAUCUGAUCUUCCUUCCAGCUCUGAAAUCCUCUACGUCUUAGAACGUAAUUUACUGUUUUCAGUGAUUACAGAGCUUCACUUUACAACAUAAUGUUGGUCUCACCCUUGAUUUUGUUUGAUGACAACUUGUUGGGCAGGAAUGCAACCCCUCCACAGGGCCUUGUUCUUAGAGGGAAAUAUGAUCUGCUUUAAGUGUGCAGGUGUGUGUUUGUGGUGAAAAGCAGGAACGACAUGCUCGGUUGUGUGGUACCCACUGGGCCCAGAGUCCCAAGGAGAACGGUUCCUGGAGGCUGGGCUUCCUGAGUGGACCCUGAAGACUAAGGAUGUGCUGGGUCCGUUGGAGCUCUGCUCCUGUGCUGGUGGCACGCUGGUCUGGCAGAACUCUCGGAUCCUUCCAGAGCCACUCACAGAGAGGAUGCUCUCCCUAGAUCUCUGCAAAGUAGAGAGGGUAGGUGUGGUCUUCUGUUCACCCAAGAAAACGUGGAGGUUAUCUAACUAGAAUCUGCUUAAUAUGAGCCUCCGUUUAUUAAGGAAUUAAGUUUACUCUUCAUUGUGAAACUUUUCAAACACAAAAAAUUAAACAUAAUAUAUAACAAUCCCCUAACCACCUAGAUUUAAUGAUUAACAUUUUGCCAUGCUUGUUUCAUCUGUUUGUUGUAAAUUCUUCAGUAUAAUCUGAAACUCGUAAGGAUUUAAAAAAUAUAGCUAGAGGGGCCAGCCCAGUGGCGCAGUGGCUAAGGGCACACAUUCCACUUCUGUGGCCGGGGGUUCGCUGGUUCAGAUCCCGGGUGUGGACAUGGUACCACUUGUCAAGCCAUGCUGUGGUAGGCAUCCCACAUAUAAAGUGGAGGAAGGUGAGCACGGAUGUUAGCUCAGCGCCAGGCUUCUUCAGCAAAAAGAGGAGGAUUGGCGGCAGAUGUUAGCUCAGGGCUAAUCUUCCUCUAAAUGGAUAAAUUAAAUAAAUGAAAAAUAUAACUGGAGCCGUCCCCGUGGCUGAGUGGUUGUUUGCGUGCUCUGCUUUGCCGGCCGGGGGUUCCCCAGUUUGGAUCUUGGGCCCCGACUUAUACACCACUCAUCAAGCCACGCUGUGGCAGCGUCCCACAUAGAAGAACUAGAAUGACCUACAACUAGAAUACAGAACUAUGUGCUGGGGCUUUGGGGAGAAAAAAAAAGAGGUUGGCAACAGAUGUUAGCUCGGGGCCAAUCUUCCUCACCAAAAAGAGUUUCACUAAAAAAAUAAAAAAUAAGAAAAAAAUAAGAAAUACAACCAUGUGUACAUAAAUACCAAAUUAACAAUGAUUCUUUUGUAUCAUUGAGAACCUAAUCUAUAUUUAAAUUUUCUUGUUUGUCCAAAAGAAAGAGUCCUUUUACAAUUGAUUUGUUCAAAAGUCUAAACCAAUCAUGGUAACUCUAUUUCCCUGGUGCGUUUGGUUGUUCGAUCUCUCCCAGGUUUCUGUUCUUCUGAACCGUCUCUCUCACCCACCCCUUUUAUUUCCAUGUCAUGAAUUUGUCAGAGAAACGGAGACAUUUGUCUAGUCCAAAGCCCCUCAUUCCUUGUGGUGUCUAAUUUAUUGCUUUAUCAUCUGUGUUUCCUGCAAACUAGUAAUUAAAGUCAGACGUUGAUUUGAUCCAGAUUCAUUAUUUUAGGAAAAACCCUUCAUAGGCUGCAUUGUGUGUUUCCUGUUGCAAAAUAUGUAACUGCUGUUUACUGGGUGCUUUCUAUGUGACAGGCAUUGUGAUACUUUACAAACAUUAUAAUAUCUUU
Molecule: long non-coding RNA, 4354 nt
Organism: Equus asinus (donkey)
Lineage: Eukaryota; Metazoa; Chordata; Mammalia; Perissodactyla; Equidae
Source: Ensembl